This 253-nucleotide ribosomal RNA is filed under the name uncultured bacterium. RNAcentral's name for it is "partial 16S ribosomal RNA". It matches the Rfam family "Bacterial small subunit ribosomal RNA", at positions 524 to 776 of the family's 1533-position model. The record is from RNAcentral.
UACAGAGGUCUCAAGCGUUGUUCGGAUUCAUUGGGCGUAAAGGGUGCGUAGGCGGCGCGGUAAGUCGGGUGUGAAAUCUCGGAGCUUAACUCCGAAACUGCAUUCGAUACUGCCGUGCUUGAGGACUGGAGAGGAGACUGGAAUUUACGGUGUAGCGGUGAAAUGCGUAGAUAUCUGGAGGAAGACCAGUGGCGAAGGCGGGUCUCUGGACAGUUCCUGACACUGAGGCACGAAGGCCAGGGGAGCAAACGGG